RNAcentral lists this long non-coding RNA (726 nucleotides) under Capsella grandiflora. RNAcentral's name for it is "long non-coding RNA (CGRA_LNC000536)". The record is from RNAcentral. Lineage: Eukaryota; Viridiplantae; Streptophyta; Magnoliopsida; Brassicales; Brassicaceae.
ACCGAAGAAAGUUGCUAAGGAAAUGGAAGAGAUGGGUAGACGAAUGCUUAAACAUUGUGGGGGAUUGCCUUUGGCUGUCAGGGUGUUAGGAGGAUUGUUGGCUGAAAAUUACACAGAACUCUACUGGGAACGAGUAUCUAAGAAUAUUGAAUCUCAUCUCGUUGGAAGAGCCAAUGAUGGCAACAACAAUUUAUUGAACCGUGUAUUGUCUCUGAGCUUUGAAGAGCUGCCUGGUCAUUUAAAGUAUUGCUUCCUCUACUUGGCCCAUUUUCCAGAAGAUUAUGAAAUAAGUAUCGAAGAAUUGCACUAUUAUUGGGCUGCAGAAGGAAUCAUCAAGUAUACCAAUGGAGAGAGCAUUAGAGAUGUUGGAGAUAGCUACAUAGAAGAAUUGGUAAAGAGAAAUAUGGUUAUAUCUGAAAGAGUCGGUACCACUUGGAGAUUUGAAGAAUGCCGUUUGCAUGACUUGAUGAGAGAUCUUUGUUUGUCAAAAGCAAAAGAAGAGAACUUCCUACAAAUUGUCGGUAACAGCUCCACGUCUGUUAGUACAUCUCAGAGAUUUGUCUCACAUGAACCGUCUGCAUUACAUGUUGAGAGAGAGAUAAAUAAUUCAAAGGUUCGAUCUCUCAUUGUUCUCAAGAAGUAUAAGUACUGUGAAGUUUCAUGUGUAAGCUUUACAAGCUUACAAGUGCUGAGAGUAUUACAUCUCCCUAGAGUCACUUUCAAAGG